CCCUGGCUGGCUCAGUUGGUGGAGUCGGUGACUCCUGAUCACAGAGUUGUGAGUUCAAACCCCACGUUGGGUG
This 73-nucleotide transfer RNA is filed under the name Canis lupus familiaris (dog). It matches the Rfam family "tRNA". From Rfam's summary of the family: Transfer RNA (tRNA) molecules are approximately 80 nucleotides in length. Lineage: Eukaryota; Metazoa; Chordata; Mammalia; Carnivora; Canidae. The record is from Rfam by way of RNAcentral. RNAcentral also lists the same sequence under 1 other name.